RNAcentral lists this ribosomal RNA (495 nucleotides) under uncultured bacterium. RNAcentral's name for it is "partial 16S ribosomal RNA". It matches the Rfam family "Bacterial small subunit ribosomal RNA", at positions 28 to 507 of the family's 1533-position model. The record is from RNAcentral.
GAUGAACGCUGGCGGCGUGCCUAAUACAUGCAAGUAGAACGCUGAAGGAGGAGCUUGCUCUUCUGGAUGAGUUGCGAACGGGUGAGUAACGCGUAGGUAACCUGCCUGGUAGCGGGGGAUAACUAUUGGAAACGAUAGCUAAUACCGCAUGACAACAGUUAUUGCAUGAUAACUGUUUAAAAGGGGCAACUGCUCCACUACCAGAUGGACCUGCGUUGUAUUAGCUAGUUGGUGAGGUAACGGCUCACCAAGGCGACGAUACAUAGCCGACCUGAGAGGGGGGUCAGCCGCACUGGGACUGAGACACGGCCCAGACUGCUACGGGAGGCAGCAGUAGGGAAUCUUCGGCAAUGGACGGAAGUCUGACCGAGCAACGCCGCGUGAGUGAAGAAGGUUUUCGGAUCGUAAAGCUCUGUUGUAAGAGAAGAACGAGUGUGAGAGUGGAAAGUUCACACUGUGACGGUAUCUUACCAGAAAGGGACGGCUAACUACGUG